RNAcentral lists this ribosomal RNA (253 nucleotides) under uncultured bacterium. RNAcentral describes it as "partial 16S ribosomal RNA". It matches the Rfam family "Bacterial small subunit ribosomal RNA", at positions 524 to 776 of the family's 1533-position model. The record is from RNAcentral.
UACGUAGGGGCCGAGCGUUGUCCGGAGUUACUGGGCGUAAAGCGCGCGCAGGCGGCCAUCUAAGCCCAGCGUGAAAGCCCCCGGCUCAACCGGGGAGGGUCGUUGGGGACUGGCUGGCUUGAGGGCGGCAGGGGCCGGUGGAAUCCCCGGUGUAGUGGUGAAAUGCGUAGAGAUCGGGGGGAACACCCGUGGCGAAGGCGGCCGGCUGGGCCGACCCUGACGCUGAGGCGCGAAGGCGUGGGGAGCGAACGGG